Molecule: non-coding RNA, 1950 nt
Organism: Solanum lycopersicum (tomato)
Lineage: Eukaryota; Viridiplantae; Streptophyta; Magnoliopsida; Solanales; Solanaceae
Source: RefSeq, a predicted model, not a curated record
AACUCAAAAUUUGGCUGUUUUUUUUUAUUUCUUCUUCUUCUCCUCCUCCAGUUUUCUCUUUUGUGUUUUUCCUCUUGUUAAUUCGAUGAGAUAAUGAAAUUGUAGAUCUUCUGAGUAUUUUCUAGUUAAGUUGAUGUUUGAGUACACCUAAAUUUGAUGUGGGUUUUGUUUUGUUUGUUUAAAAUUUGUGAUUUAUGACCCAAUGAGUUCAUUAAGUUUAGUUGCUUUAGCUUCUAAAAUUGCAAAAGAUAAACAUGUAUUUGCAGUUUGACAAAAUAGUAUUAAUAUUCUAGCUAUAGAAGCCAAACAAAAAUAAACAUUUUACCCUAUUUUUCAUGUUACUUUUCAUUUUCUUUUCAAUAAAAUUGAACAUUUUAGUAUGAAACCAUCUAUUACCUUCCUAUUAUACAAAAUGUGUUUGCAAUACUUAGUUAAGUAACAUGAUUGAUAUGUUUUUUUUCUUUUGGGAUUCAAUUUGAUCAUGAUGUGAUUUUUAGUUGGAAAAUAGGUGAAAAUGGAUUCUCAGCAAUUGCGCGAUGUUGAAUCCUUUAUGAUUCUCGAGGAGAUUGUGGUGUAUUCCUAUAUUGUCCUUAUCUGCUUUUUUAUGGCUAUUUACAGCAUGUUAUUAAGAAAACAAUCUAGAAAUAGAUGGGGCAUUCGAUAUUGUUGAGUGCUAGAAUUCCAAAAAUCUUGUCUCAUCUGAAUUUUCUCAUUCGUGACAAUGAUAUUUUAUGUAUUGACAAGCUUAGGAUGGAUAGAAACGCCUUUCACAUAUUAGCCUCCUUAGCCAAGAAUAUUGGAGGUUUGACUGACAGUAAAAAUAUGUCGAGUACUGAAAAGUUAGCAAUAUUUUUAAAUAUUUUGGCUCAUCAUGAAAAGAACAGGUCUAUCAAAGUUGAUUAUAUUAGAUCGGGUGGAGUGUAAGUGGAGCCUUUAAUGAAUAUCUAAGAGUUAUUCUUAAACUAACUCCAGUAUUACUUGUUAAACCUAAUCCGGUGCUCGAACAUGAUAGUGAUGAUCGAUGGAAAUGGUUUAAGGUAGGUAAAUUUCAAUCUUAACAUUUGAUUUACUACAAUAAACUUGAAAUAUUAUGGUGAACGUAUUUUUAUUUUUAAUAGUCAUUUAGUAUUUAGAGUUAAUUUAUCUUAUAGGGUUGUCUUGGUGCAUUGGAUGGCACUUACAUUUCCAUUAGAGUUGAAGCAAUAUAUAAACCAAGAUACAGAACACGAAAUAGAGAUAUAGCAACUAAUGUCUUGAGGGUUUGUGAUAGAAAUCUCAACUUUAUUUAUGUAUUACCUGGUUGGGAGGGAUCAGUCGCUGAUGGUCGCGUAUUGCGAGAUGUUGUUGUACGAAGAAAUAGGUUGAAAGUACCUCAUGGUAAUUAAUAUUUGUGAGAUGGAGGAUAUACAAAUGGAAAUGGUUUACUGUCUCCCUACCGAGGAUAUAGAUAUUGGCUAAAGGAUUGGUAGGGUGACAAUCCAUCACUUCGAUGUCGAGAAGAGCUCUUUAAUAUGAAGCAUGCUGGGGAACGUAAUGUUAUCUAACGAGCAUUUGGACUAUUAAAAGGACGUAAGGGAAUUCUUAGAAGUCCUCCGUAGUACUCAGUUAAGGUUCACAAUAGAAUUAUUAGUGCAUGUUGUUUAUACACAAUUUCAUUCGAAGAGAUAUGGAAGCUGACCCCUUAGAUAUGGAAAUGGAUUUCCACAUGGAGAAUCAACAUGAACAUGAAAAUAUUAAUACAAUUGAAACAUCUGAUGAGUAGACCACUUGGAGGGAUGAACUAGCUCAGUCUAUGUGGAAUGAACGAUUGGGAAACCAAUAUUUAUAAUUUUAAACUAUGUGCUCAUUUUUGGUGUGCUUAUGAACUUUUACUUUUGAUUUUCCAUCCACUGUAAAAUGUAAUACCUUCUAUUAUUUUGUGAAAACAAAUGGUCAAUCUUUUGUAUGUCU